RNAcentral lists this ribosomal RNA (253 nucleotides) under uncultured bacterium. RNAcentral's name for it is "partial 16S ribosomal RNA". It matches the Rfam family "Bacterial small subunit ribosomal RNA", at positions 524 to 776 of the family's 1533-position model. The record is from RNAcentral.
UACAGAGGUCCCGAGCGUUGUUCGGAUUCACUGGGCGUAAAGGGUGCGUCGGUGGUGAGGUAAGUCGGAUGUGAAAUCUCCGGGCUCAACCCGGAAAUGGCAUUGGAAACUACCUUGCUGGAGGAUUUGAGGGGGGAUUGGAAUACUUGGUGUAGCAGUGAAAUGCGUAGAUAUCAAGUGGAACACCAGUGGCGAAGGCGAAUCCCUGGAAAAUACCUGACACUGAGGCACGAAAGCUAGGGGAGCAAACAGG